This is an RNA transcript of Gossypium raimondii (Peruvian cotton), 867 nucleotides long. RefSeq lists it as uncharacterized. The record is from RefSeq and is a predicted model, not a curated record. Lineage: Eukaryota; Viridiplantae; Streptophyta; Magnoliopsida; Malvales; Malvaceae. The transcript is spliced from 7 exons.
UCUCUCUUUCCUCUUCACCUGACCCUAUCAAAGGAACCCAGCUUUCCAUCUCACUACCAGACGACGACGUUUUGAACUCAUUCUUCAUCGUUUUCUCUACUUCCCCUUCUUCUUCUGCUCUCCAAUGGCUAUCCUCGCCGCAAACGUUUAACAAAAAAACACCCUUUUGUUUAUACCCAAUGCCAGUGUAAUGAUUUUCAAAAGCUCAACUUGUUUGUAUAUUUUCCAAGGGCCUUCGGAGUUGAUGCCACCAGAAAAAGACUUGAAAGUCAUAAGAGAAGCUAAGAUCUGAGAAGAGAUGUUAGACCGGGAAGCUUCACUUAGACGAGCCAGAGCAAAAGCAUCUCUUUCUGAUGGUAUCUCAUGGGGCAUGGGAGAGGAUGCUAUUGAAGAAGCAGAGGAUGAUGGACCAGAUGUUGAAGGAAAUACUAGCCAUAAAUUUGUCUCCAAGGGGUGGAGGUGGUUAAAAAUUAUAAAGAUUUUUCAUUCUUAGACUAUGCAAGAGUUGGUAGGGCAUUGGCCUUAUACGAGGUUGGAGACAAAGAAGAAGCUUUUGCAGAGAUGGAAGAUGUUUCAAUAUCUUUAAAGGGAUAUCCAUGUGCUAUAUUAGAGUUCAAAUUUAUUAGAUUUCAAUAUCUUUAAUAUAAUAUUUUUGGUAUAUGGCUUUUUCAAGCAGGUGAAACUUUCUGUCUCUGGCAGGGAUUUUUGUUUAACUUUCAUUUCAAGACGUUCUCGACAUUAUGCUGGGACAAGGUUAGAUGCUGGGACAAACAAGAGGUUAGCUUGAGUGCCUUUGCAUUUUUGUUUUCUAAGCUUGUUCAGUACAAUCAAACUCGGGUUGACAACAUUGCUGAAUUAGAAAGAAGG